Molecule: ribosomal RNA, 156 nt
Filed under: Acacia cana
Lineage: Eukaryota; Viridiplantae; Streptophyta; Magnoliopsida; Fabales; Fabaceae
Also listed under: 1 other name
Description: 5.8S ribosomal RNA
Rfam family: 5.8S ribosomal RNA
About the family: 5.8S ribosomal RNA (5.8S rRNA) is a component of the large subunit of the eukaryotic ribosome. It is transcribed by RNA polymerase I as part of the 45S precursor that also contains 18S and 28S rRNA. Functionally, it is thought that 5.8S rRNA may be involved in ribosome translocation.
Source: RNAcentral
CUCUCGGCAACGGAUAUCUCGGCUCUCGCAUCGAUGAAGAACGUAGCGAAAUGCGAUACUUGGUGUGAAUUGCAGAAUCCCGUGAACCAUCGAGUCUUUGAACGCAAGUUGCGCCCGAAGCCGUCAGGCCGAGGGCACGCCUGCCUGGGCGUCACA